CAGUCGCCACGGUAAAACAGAGGGUGCGAGCGUUAAUCGGAUUUACUGGGCGUAAAGCGUGCGUAGGCGGCUUCUUAAGUCGGAUGUGAAAUCCCUGAGCUUAACUUAGGAAUUGCAUUCGAUACUGGGAAGCUAGAGUAUGGGAGAGGAUGGUAGAAUUCCAGGUGUAGCGGUGAAAUGCGUAGAGAUCUGGAGGAAUACCGAUGGCGAAGGCAGCCAUCUGGCCUAAUACUGACGCUGAGGUACGAAAGCAUGGGGAGCAAACAGGAUUAGAUACCCCAGUAGUCCCUGUCUCUUAUAC
Molecule: ribosomal RNA, 301 nt
Filed under: uncultured bacterium
Lineage: Bacteria
Description: partial 16S ribosomal RNA
Rfam family: Bacterial small subunit ribosomal RNA
Source: RNAcentral